This is a long non-coding RNA of Hemibagrus wyckioides, 733 nucleotides long. RefSeq lists it as uncharacterized. The record is from RefSeq and is a predicted model, not a curated record. NCBI's taxonomy places the organism in Eukaryota, Metazoa, Chordata, Actinopteri, Siluriformes, Bagridae. The transcript is spliced from 3 exons.
UUUAUUCAGUUAGUCAGUCUGGCUCCAUCCCAAAUCACUCAUUACUCCUAAUAGGUGCACUAGACAGAUGUGAAUACAGGACAUGAAUUAAAAAUCGUACAUGCCCUAGGUAGUGUGGAAGAAAUAGUGCGCGUGAUUAGGAACACAGCCGGUUAUUAAAUCCGUUAAAUCAAAGCUAAUUCGGCUAGCUACAACAAUCUCAUUCUUUUUUUUUUUUAACUUGCUCCUGUCAGCUUUGUGACUCGGUUUAAAAAUUUAAGCGACUAAAGAUAGUGAUGCGGGAGAAGUGAACGCGUCGCUCGACGCUGAGAAACUUUCAGACCGAGUCACUGGCACGCAAGUACCGCGUCAACACACGUCAGCGACCCGGGGAGCCAUUAAAACUCCGCCAUCUCCGAGCAGCAGCACAGCCGCCCGGAACCACCGCCAUUACAGCGCCGUCCCGCCUGAGUAGCGCCGCGCGAGCGUGUUAGCUUCAAACGAGACCCAGCGCGCGCACACACACACGCGCGCGCACACCUACCUUUAGCCGCUCCUUUAAUCCGUUGGGGACGUUCCUCAGAUGUCCGUUAUCGAAGUGUGACGUAAAAAAUAAGGCUGUCUUAACGCCCCGCCCACCAGAAUGUUGUGUGACGUCAUUCCCCCGGAAGGGUUCUGAUUGGCUUCACGGCCCUUUACAGUAAUGAAGGGGAAAAGUCGUCGUGAACAAAAAGCUGUUUGUUUUCCUCCAACA